RNAcentral lists this ribosomal RNA (259 nucleotides) under uncultured bacterium. Its description in RNAcentral is "partial 16S ribosomal RNA". It matches the Rfam family "Bacterial small subunit ribosomal RNA", at positions 96 to 354 of the family's 1533-position model. The record is from RNAcentral.
UGGCGGACGGGUGAGUAACGCGUGAGGUAACCUGCCGUAUACCGGGGGAUAACACUUAGAAAUAGGUGCUAAUACCGCAUAAGCGCACGGCUCCGCAUGGGGCAGUGUGAAAAACUCCGGUGGUAUACGAUGGAUCCGCGUCUGAUUAGCUAGUUGGCGGGGUAACGGCCCACCAAGGCAGCGAUCAGUAGCCGGCCUGAGAGGGUGGACGGCCACAUUGGGACUGAGACACGGCCCAAACUCCUACGGAAGGCAGCAG